AAAAAAUUUCCUUAUUACCAAUUAGCUGUCGAAGAACACAGUUAACAGUUGGAGAGCAAAGGCCUCUGACAUGGCGGUGUUCGGUUCAGUUUUCUGCUGUUUCCAAACAACAAGAUAAAUUUCAGCAAGAAGAAGAUAAAGUCACUCACCUUUUCCAGGUUUCUCUCUCUAUCGCACACGCCACGCAACGCCCAUUUCAGCUUCGAACUUGAAUCAUCGAUUAGGAGAUUAAUUUUGUUUUAGAUGCGCUAAUUAAGGACCCACUUAGCUUGUUGGAUGAUUAAUAACAACUGGGUCAAGUAGUUUGGACAAUUUAACAAUUUCUUGUGUAAUGCAUCCCUUUUCAUAAGUAUUUAUUUAUAUUGCAGAAGCAGAACCGAUAUUAUAUGAUGUAUAAAACACAAAUGGCCAUGCUUUACAUGUGUUUGAUGUGUUUUCUCUUAAAGGAUAGACUGUUUGUUGCGUUUUAGUUGUAUGGGAAUGCUAGUAUCGCAUCGAUUAUGGACCUGAGAACUUUUCCUUCUGUCGUUUUGGUAUCAUUAUUUGUUUAUGUUCGUACGAGUGACAUUUUCUGUGAAAUGUUCAAGUUAGUUGUUUUUAGCAAGGACCUUGAGUUAGCUGAAGUCCCCAACAGUCCUAUGGUCAUGUUACGCUCACAGAGGAUGAGAAUGCUGAAGUUGAAGUAACAGAUCCGGGCUUCAUCUGGGAUAAGUGUGGUCACGUUGUAUGCUUUUAUUCUCUUAUGCUAUUAAACUUUAAAACUUAUCUCCAGCUAUUACAUGUGAUCUCUUCCUGGUUUACAAGUUUGCUUGGUGAAAGAAAUGAUUAAAAAAGAAAGUGCUUUUCUGAUCAGUGCAUAUUUCAAAUUUAAUUAUCAUCAUGCCUUACAGUGUCUAUCCGUCUUCUUUCAUCUUUUGACAUAUAUAAUCUUACGCAUGCUUGGAUUGUGCUGGCCACAGAUAGAAGCAGAUUUACAGGCACUGUAAGGUCUUCCCCCACCCCACCUCCCUCGAUGAUGUAGCUGAAAUACUACUUCUGAGAGGUCAAGUCAGUGGCCAUCAUCUGAUUUAAAUUGUUUUGCUGGUCUCUUAUCCCACAGGUAUUUCUAGUUUAUGCUGGAGGCAAUAGCUUGUACAGGGAAGGCAAGAUCAUUGGUUCUGUUCCAUCUUAUUAUCUGGCUGUCCUUAAGCAAGGUUUGGAAAUGCUUACUGUACUGUCACCUGCAGGCUAAUGUUGAAGGAUAUGAAUUGAAGCCUGUUGCUCUUGGUACUUGUAGGGAAUUACAUGUGGAUCAAAGCUGCUUCGCAAUUGGGAAUCCUUAUGAAUAUGAAAGCACUCUAACAAUAGUGAUAACUCCUUCAGUAACACAUCUGUUAUAUAGACUGUUUGGAGGACAAUGGUCAGUAUCUACUUGUAAGUUCACGUGACUGUAAGCAAACAUCAAAUAGAAACACCCAAGCCUUUUUCUU
Populus euphratica (Euphrates poplar) is the source of this 1469-nucleotide long non-coding RNA. RefSeq lists it as uncharacterized. NCBI's taxonomy places the organism in Eukaryota, Viridiplantae, Streptophyta, Magnoliopsida, Malpighiales, Salicaceae. The record is from RefSeq and is a predicted model, not a curated record. The transcript is spliced from 2 exons.